This is a long non-coding RNA of Leptopilina boulardi, 893 nucleotides long. RefSeq lists it as uncharacterized. NCBI's taxonomy places the organism in Eukaryota, Metazoa, Arthropoda, Insecta, Hymenoptera, Figitidae. The transcript is spliced from 3 exons. The record is from RefSeq and is a predicted model, not a curated record.
CCAUUUAACUGUCAGUCGAAAAUUUUGUUGUUUUUCUAUUAUUAAAAAAAACAAUUCUCUACUAAAAGCCAUUUUCCCACGUUUAACUUAAAGAAAAGGUUUCAAGUAUUUAAUUUUGUGAAAAAGCUUUUAUGUUGGUAUUGGCACGUGUGACACUUGAGACAUUGUGUGGUAAAUUCAGACGAUAAGUGCGGUGAGGGAGGUCCGUGAUAUUUUAACUCUGCCACCCACGACCCUUGAAGAAGAGGAGGAGAAAAAGGGGGCCAGUGAAAGUGCAUUUUAGGGCGAACGAAGCAAGAGGCUAAUAGCACCGUGAAAAUGUACAAGAGGGUUUACUUCCUAGAAGCCAUAAACUCUUAAGAAUCAAGAUAUCGACAGGAUUGGUUUCCCAUUAAGACUUGCCUUAUAAAGAGAAGAGAUUGAAAAUUGGAUAAACUAAAUAAACAAAAGCUUGGAACAAUUCGAAAAAUUGUAUUUUAUUAUCAAAGAAAGAAGGUUAGUUUUUUUUUUUUUUUCUUUGGGAGUAGGAAAAAGCAAAUCACUCACCAAAAAAUCGACAAUGAAGAUAAGGUAGCAACAACUGGCAGCGUACACAAUAUCCUUCUAUCCUUGUCGACACUAUAGGAGGCACUCUCAAGAAUUUUCAGAUAGUACAUGAAUCACCACUAGAUGAUGAAUCUCAUUGAACGAGGAACUAAAAUUCUCGAUUCUAAUCGUGUGGAUUCUGGUUGAAUGAUGGUGAAAUAUCCUCGCAAAUGUGAAUCGUGGAAGUAACUAUUAAUACCCAUCAAUAAAGAGACAAAACCGAGCGUUAGAGAGAGAGAAAGAGAACGAGAUUAAAAAUUCAUCGAGAGAAUAAUCAUUCUUUCCGACACAAAUCUAUGAAUAUUUUU